RNAcentral lists this ribosomal RNA (373 nucleotides) under uncultured organism. Its description in RNAcentral is "bacterial SSU rRNA". It matches the Rfam family "Bacterial small subunit ribosomal RNA", at positions 526 to 896 of the family's 1533-position model. The record is from RNAcentral.
CGUAGGGGGCUAGCGUUGUCCGGAUUUAUUGGGCGUAAAGAGCGUGUAGGCGGCCGGGUAAGUCCGGUGUGAAAACUCGAGGCUUAACCUCGAGAUGUCAUCGGAAACUAUUCGGCUAGAGUCCGGAAGAGGAGAGUGGAAUUCCUGGUGUAGCGGUGAAAUGCGCAGAUAUCAGGAAGAACACCCAUGGCGAAAGCAGCUCUCUGGGACGGUACUGACGCUGAGACGCGAAAGCGUGGGGAGCGAACAGGAUUAGAUACCCUAGGUAGUCCACGCCGUAAACGAUGGGUGCUAGGUGUGGGCGGUGUCGACUCCGUCCGUGCCGAAGCUAACGCAUUAAGCACCCCGCCUGGGGAGUACGGCCGCAAGGCUA